CUCUCCUUUGUCUACCUUUUGACUGAAUCAACACAAGCUUGAACUAUGUGGAAGAGCUCAAAAACUGCUUAGUGAAUUCACACCCUACUUAGUGCUAGUUGAGAAGCUAGCAAAAUACUUGGAGAGGCCACCCUUUUUCUAACUCAACAGUUGGAAACAUGUAAGAGUUCACACCCUCAGAAACUGUGAUCUUUUGAUGAGUAUUCACCCCUCCAGAAGGUGCAAACUGGUUCCCACCAACACUACUCCCUAGGCAGUGCUAGACAAUUUGGAAGCUGUGAUUGGUCCCUGUGAAGAGAGGAGGAGACAAGAAGCCACUAUAAAAGGCCCUGAAUUUCUGAGGAUAGAGGAAGUAGACUCUACAAAGGAAGUCAGCUUCAAGGAGGAGUUGGACUUCAAGAAGGAAGUCAGCUUAAGGAAGGAGGUCUACUCAGAAAAGAAAGUUGGCCUCAGGAGUCACCUUCAAUUUAAGUCAUCAUCUUGGCCUGCCUCUUGGAGGAAACUUGGGUGAAUGGAUAGCUGGCUUUCCUUUCUUGUCUUCUGGAGAGAGUUUAAUUCUGGUUGAAGGUCAACAAGUCUUGGCUGAGGGAGUUCAUCUGGAGUUUUGUUUAAUGCCAAAAUACGAUGAAUGUUGGCUGUGGACAUCUUGUGAUUUUUCUCACAUGGAGGAAGACCUUCGGGAGCAAGGUUCAUCAUGGAAAAAAGUUAAAAGGUCAAAUGAGAAGACAAGAAAUUCAAGAUUUAGAAUGCUGUUUGAAUCGACUAUACUGAUAAAUAUUUAACAAUCAUCUCUGAAAAAAAGUAUCCACAACACAAAACAUUUCUCCAUCACUUUCUGAAGCCUAGAAA
Molecule: long non-coding RNA, 849 nt
Filed under: Monodelphis domestica (gray short-tailed opossum)
Lineage: Eukaryota; Metazoa; Chordata; Mammalia; Didelphimorphia; Didelphidae
Description: lncRNA (ENSMODG00000033516.2)
Source: RNAcentral